RNAcentral lists this ribosomal RNA (232 nucleotides) under uncultured bacterium. RNAcentral describes it as "partial 16S ribosomal RNA". It matches the Rfam family "Bacterial small subunit ribosomal RNA", at positions 100 to 334 of the family's 1533-position model. The record is from RNAcentral.
CGGGACGGGUGAGUAAUGUCUGGGAAACUGCCUGAUGGAGGGGGAUAACUGCUGGAAACGGUAGCUAAUACCGCAUAACGUCGCAAGACCAAAGAGGGGGACCUUCGGGCCUCUUGCCAUCGGACGUGCCCAGAUGGGAUUAGCUAGUAGGUGGGGUAACGGCUCACCUAGGCGACGAUCCCUAGCUGGUCUGAGAGGAUGCCAGCCACACUGGAACUGAGACACGGUCCAG